This 84-nucleotide transfer RNA is filed under the name Phycisphaerales bacterium. RNAcentral's name for it is "tRNA-Leu". It matches the Rfam family "tRNA". From Rfam's summary of the family: Transfer RNA (tRNA) molecules are approximately 80 nucleotides in length. Their secondary structure includes four short double-helical elements and three loops (D, anti-codon, and T loops). Lineage: Bacteria; Pseudomonadati; Planctomycetota; Phycisphaerae; Phycisphaerales. The record is from RNAcentral.
GCGGAUGUGGCGGAACUGGCAGACGCGCAGGCUUCAGGUGCCUGUGGGGGCAACCCCGUGGAGGUUCGAUUCCUCUCAUCCGCA